Molecule: long non-coding RNA, 2967 nt
Filed under: Equus asinus (donkey)
Lineage: Eukaryota; Metazoa; Chordata; Mammalia; Perissodactyla; Equidae
Description: lncRNA (ENSEASG00005024748.1)
Source: RNAcentral
AAGCACGCUGCCCGUGUAGGUUGGUUCCUGACUCCCGACCCUGACCUUUUCUUCCCUCAUCCAAGGAAACCCUUGUCUCCAUCCCUCCCACUCAUUUCAUCUUCAGGGCCCUUAUCUCCUCCUCAAAUUAUAAAUUUGUUCCAAAUCUCUUUCUCACUGAACUGUAAGCAACAAGAGGCCAGGCUCCCGUCUUCAUUUGCUCACUCUACUUUUUUUCACUUUUUCCAAGGCCCCGCAUAAUGACUGGAAAAGGACAGUUGUUAGAGAAACAAACAAGCAAGCAAACUACUAGAAAACUCCCUGUAUUUUCAACUUUCAUUACUGACUGUACUUUUUUUCAAGUACCAACAAUCAAGAUAUUUAGAUUGCAUGGAGGAACAAAAGUUUAAUUCCUCGUUUAAAAAAUUCCCUGUGUUGCAUUAAUUAGGAAUGUGGCAGCAAUAUGUUUUCUUCUAGUUCAUUUUUUUUCCUCGAGACAGACAUAUUUCAGUUAUGUACUGUGGCCAUCCAGUUUUUUGUGAGCUACUUGGAGUGUAACCGCUGUCUCUAACAUCAUUUUGAUGUCAAAAGGGAACUUACUGAGCCUGGCAUCGUUCUAAAUACUUUUGCAUAUUUAAAGCUAUUCCGUCUUCACAUAGCUAUGUAAAAUUGAUAUUUUUAAUUAUAAUUUUGCGGAAAAAGAAAUUAGAGGGGAAAUUAGAGAAGAUCAGAGAAGUUAAGUAGCUUGCCAAAGUCACACAGCUAGUGAAUAAAAUUAUUAGGAAGCUCUGUAUAACUCUAAAGCCCAUGCUUUCUCUGUCGUAUGAACUGACUUACAAGUAAAUAUUUUGAGACGGAGAAAAGAAGACCUCCUAAUUAAGUUCUAUUUUGGAUUAGUGGGAUCAACCUUCUGAGGAAACCAACAGUAAAAGUUGGACAAAAUCGUCGAUAAUGGAACUAAAACUUUUGUUCAGCAGAUUGGCCACCAGUUUUCACUGACAAAAUCCCACGUAGUUUUGGUGUGGAUGUAGCGACCGACUGUGUUUAACCAAAGAUAUGCCAAUCUGCUGUAAGUUUACUCACCAAUCAAAGCCAACGAUUCAAACCUGAUGACACGGAUGGUCAAAGGCUGGGAGCCAAGGCUGGCGGGCAGGUGUCUGAGGGAGCCUCUAGGCUCCGCAGAGGUGUGGAGCAGAGCCCCUGCUAGAUAUCACCCUGUGAUGACCCUGAGUAUUAGGGGCUGGGAAACUUGUCAAAAAAUAUGGAACUCUUAUGAAAGCAAUUCAGCCACUCCAGUUGAAUGGCAUCGUCUCUGCAGAGGGGCAUGUUUGCUUGACCACCAACCAUACGGCGGCUCUCAUCUCACAGUUUGCACACGGACGGAAUAUAAAUGAGAAAACAGUGGUUUAUAUUAAAGCAAGAAGAACUUCAGUUGGCUGCAAAUAAAGAAGAAUCUCUUGCAAAGCAGGGCAACUGGAAGGUAAAGCCCUCAUCGCAAGAAAAUAAGCCAGCCUUGAUGAGGUGUCAUCAAGAACAUCAUUUUUUUUAAGGAUUAUCAAACUCAAGUAGACACAUAUGACCACGUAUUUUGUGCCAGGCCUUUUCUGAGACUUUGGAAAUAAGUCUUUGCUCUUAAGGAGACGUGAAAGUUUUUAGUAGCAUCACUGGCAUAUAGAAAACUGACACACACAUGGACAAAAUUUUAACCUGAUUCUGAAUAUUAGAAUAUAGUCUCAAUCAGCACGAGCCACGGUAAUAUUCAGUAAUUGUAAAGAAAGUAAGUAAAGUAAGAAGAGGACUUUUAAUAUCUAAAUUUCAAAGCACACUGGGGAUUCAAGGCCUACCGACAUUACAUUUCUGAAAACUGGCUGCUGAUUCAGAGGACUUGGCCUGGGUAUGAGGACUUCCUUCAUCAUUUCUUGUAAGAGAGGUCUAGAGGUGAUGAAUUCCUUCAGCUUUUGUUUAUAUGGGAAAGCUUUUAUUUCUCUGUCAUAUUUAAGGGGCGUUAUAAAUCUCUGCCCUGAUGAACUCAGUGUGGCCAAUGGAAGGCGAGUAGAAGGCCAAGUUGCGUAUUGGCAGACAUUGUAAGAGCCAGAAUUUGCUACCCAUGUUCUCUUCCCUGCUGCCUUGAUCUUAGAAGAAUGUGUUGUGAUGUGGAGCCUUCAUUAACCUAAAUCUCUGAAUGACUACAGUGAACAGAGCCUGCUUGCCCACCCAUCCUUAAGGCACAUGGUGAGUGGGCAGAAAAUGAUCUUGGUUAUCUUGAGCCAAUGAUUUUUGAGGGUUAUUUGUUACCACAGCAUAAUCAAGCCUAUCCUAACUGACACGUGGGACCUAGUGUGGCAGUUCCCAAAGAGCUCUGAGAAUAACUCCUGAGAACCAGCUUUAAACAUCUACCAACCCCAGAGAACGAGGCCAGGUACCAGCCACGUUAGAAUUCCCGUCUCCUAUUCUUUCAUCACCCCUCUUCUGCCUCCAUCCUGGAAAAUCUUGGCUGGAAAGAGGGAAAUGAUGGACAUUAAAGAUGUGACUAUUUUGCAUUAUUAUCUAAGACUGUAUAAUCUAACUAUUGUGUUGGCAACUUAAUGUGAUCACAGGGCAAUUUGCAAGGCACCAGAAAAAAUAUGACACUGCCAGUGUUGAUCCAGUGGUGAGACAAAAAAAUUGUCCCUACUCACCUCAUCUCCGCCAAUUAAAAAACAAAGCUAAACUAAGCAAAUAAAAACAAAACAACCCAAAACUUUCCUCCAUGGAGCAGGAUUAUAGGAGAGUGGGAAACCAUAAAAAAUGAGACUCUUAAACACAUUUUAUGCCUUGUGCUUGUUUAACAUACCAGCUACAUAAAUAAAUCGAGAGAGUAGAUUUUAAGAUAAAGUUUUAAAUUGACUUCAGAACUAAAGUGUAUUUUUAAAUGCAAAUGAAUGGAUGGCACUUCUAUCUUGCAUUUAUAUAUAAAAACAAAAUUAGACAUUAAAGUUUAAACACUAA